GAUGAACGCUGGCGGCGUGCUUAACACAUGCAAGUCGAACGGAGUACCCCUGAAGGAGUUUUCGGACAACUGAUGGGACUACUUAGUGGCGGACGGGUGAGUAACGCGUGAGUAACCUGCCUUGGAGUGGGGAAUAACAGCUGGAAACAGCUGCUAAUACCGCAUAAUAUAUCUGUGUCGCAUGGCAGUGGAUAUCAAAGAUUUAUCGCUCUGAGAUGGACUCGCGUCUGAUUAGCUAGUUGGCGGGGUAACGGCCCACCAAGGCGACGAUCAGUAGCCGGACUGAGAGGUUGGCCGGCCACAUUGGGACUGAGACACGGCCCAGACUCCUACGGGAGGCAGCAGUGGGGAAUAUUGGGCAAUGGGCGCAAGCCUGACCCAGCAACGCCGCGUGAAGGAAGAAGGCUUUCGGGUUGUAAACUUCUUUUCUCAGGGACGAAGCAAGUGACGGUACCUGAGGAAUAAGCCACGGCUAACUACGUGCCAGCAGCCGCGGUAAUACGUAGGUGGCAAGCGUUAUCCGGAUUUACUGGGUGUAAAGGGCGUGUAGGCGGGACUGCAAGUCAGAUGUGAAAACCACGGGCUCAACCUGUGGCCUGCAUUUGAAACUGUAGUUCUUGAGUACUGGAGAGGCAGACGGAAUUCCUAGUGUAGCGGUGAAAUGCGUAGAUAUUAGGAGGAACACCAGUGGCGAAGGCGGUCUGCUGGACAGCAACUGACGCUGAGGCGCGAAAGCGUGGGGAGCAAACAGGAUUAGAUACCCUGGUAGUCCACGCUGUAAACGAUGGAUACUAGGUGUGGGGGGACUGACCCCCUCCGUGCCGCAGUUAACACAAUAAGUAUCCCACCUGGGGAGUACGAUCGCAAGGUUGAAACUCAAAGGAAUUGACGGGGGCCCGCACAAGCGGUGGAGUAUGUGGUUUAAUUCGAAGCAACGCGAAGAACCUUACCAGGGCUUGACAUCCCGGUGACCGCUGUAGAGAUACAGUUUUCCCUUCGGGGACACUGGUGACAGGUGGUGCAUGGUUGUCGUCAGCUCGUGUCGUGAGAUGUUGGGUUAAGUCCCGCAACGAGCGCAACCCUUAUUGUUAGUUGCUACGCAAGAGCACUCUAGCGAGACUGCCGUUGACAAAACGGAGGAAGGUGGGGACGACGUCAAAUCAUCAUGCCCCUUAUGUCCUGGGCCACACACGUACUACAAUGGUGGUCAACAGAGGGAAGCAAUACCGCGAGGUGGAGCAAAUCCCUAAAAGCCAUCCCAGUUCGGAUCGCAGGCUGCAACCCGCCUGCGUGAAGUUGGAAUCGCUAGUAAUCGCGGAUCAGCAUGCCGCGGUGAAUACGUUCCCGGGCCU
Molecule: ribosomal RNA, 1352 nt
Filed under: uncultured bacterium
Lineage: Bacteria
Description: bacterial SSU rRNA
Rfam family: Bacterial small subunit ribosomal RNA
Source: RNAcentral